GGGGGCAUAGCUCAGUUGGCUAGAGCACUGCCUUUGCAAGGCAGGGGUCCAGGGUUCGAGUCCCUGUGCCUCCACCA
RNAcentral lists this transfer RNA (77 nucleotides) under Candidatus Nomurabacteria bacterium. Its description in RNAcentral is "tRNA-Ala". It matches the Rfam family "tRNA". From Rfam's summary of the family: Transfer RNA (tRNA) molecules are approximately 80 nucleotides in length. The record is from RNAcentral. Lineage: Bacteria; Candidatus Nomuraibacteriota. RNAcentral also lists the same sequence under 1 other name.